RNAcentral lists this ribosomal RNA (515 nucleotides) under uncultured bacterium. Its description in RNAcentral is "bacterial SSU rRNA". It matches the Rfam family "Bacterial small subunit ribosomal RNA", at positions 994 to 1509 of the family's 1533-position model. The record is from RNAcentral.
UGGGCUUCAGAGAUGAGGUCCUUCAGUUCGGCUGGCGUCCACACAGGUGCUGCAUGGCUGUCGUCAGCUCGUGUCGUGAGAUGUUGGGUUAAGUCCCGCAACGAGCGCAACCCCCAUCUUCAGUUGCCAUCAUUUAGUUGGGCACUCUGGAGAAACUGCCGGUGACAAGCCGGAGGAAGGCGGGGAUGACGUCAAGUCCUCAUGGCCCUUACGGGUUGGGCUACACACGUGCUACAAUGGUGGUGACAAUGGGUUGCGAGGUCGCGAGGCCAAGCUAAUCUCAAAAAGCCAUCUCAGUUCGGAUUGUACUCUGCAACUCGAGUACAUGAAGUUGGAAUCGCUAGUAAUCGCGCAUCAGCAUGGCGCGGUGAAUACGUUCCCGGGCCUUGUACACACCGCCCGUCACACCAUGGGAGUUGGUUCUACCCGAAGCCGGUGCGCUAACCGCAAGGAGGCAGCCGACCACGGUAGGGUCAGUGACUGGGGUGAAGUCGUAACAAGGUAAGCGUAGUGCU